AUGAUAGCUAAGAGGUAGCGGAAGCUUCCAUUCCGAGCUUCAUUUGGAAUGGAAGGCAAUGGACGCAGGAGAAAGCCCUUCUCCGAAGUCACGAAUUUUUUCGCGCGAUCCCUCUCUUCGUCCUCGGCCCCUCCUCUUCUCUGACGCGCAAGACCAAGCUCCAUCACAAGCGCUCGGAGCGGAAAUCUUCUCCGUCAUCGAACAUCGACGCGGUCUCCGGUCGAUCCAGCUCCAGCAUCGGAUCCACCGCCCCUGGAAACCCCGGAAUCCGAGAAAUCCGCAAAUCGAAUCCUCGAGGUGAUGAGAUAUCCCAACACCACAAAAUAGCCGGAGAUGAGAGUCUUGGUGGUCCUAUAUACCUCAGGAUUAUAUUGAGCAACAGAGAGCCUACUUGCAGAAAUAGAUGCAUUCGAACUGCCCGAGGAAGCAGUCUCAGAGAGUGAACUGGAGCAGCCAAGCUGAUCCAGUUAUUGAUUUCCAUUAUUCUCUUUGCAGAACAGACAGUACAGACUACUGACUAAGCACGGUUUCUGUAAUGGGUGUACCACAUCAAAAACAUCUAGAAAUUUUCGCAGAAGGCAUGGUUACUGCAACGUAAAUCCAGCCACGGUGGCUCACAUAUUGAAGCAAACCAUUAGCAGAAUCUGACACCUUUUCUUGAUCAUUAUUUGUUUUCCUUUUUCCUUUUUAACUUCUAUGUUGGGGUUUACCAAAGUACUUUCUGAAAAUGCUACUCAAUCAGGUCAUGUUAGCUCCUUCAAGGGUACGACUACUACACAAUAUUUUUCUAUAGCUCAGCAGUAAUUGGAUCAUGUUGCUCUUUUGUGCUUUG
Molecule: non-coding RNA, 832 nt
Organism: Elaeis guineensis (African oil palm)
Lineage: Eukaryota; Viridiplantae; Streptophyta; Magnoliopsida; Arecales; Arecaceae
Source: RefSeq, a predicted model, not a curated record